This 225-nucleotide ribosomal RNA is filed under the name uncultured Acinetobacter sp. RNAcentral describes it as "partial 16S ribosomal RNA". It matches the Rfam family "Bacterial small subunit ribosomal RNA", at positions 568 to 792 of the family's 1533-position model. The record is from RNAcentral. Lineage: Bacteria; Pseudomonadati; Pseudomonadota; Gammaproteobacteria; Moraxellales; Moraxellaceae.
UGCGCAGGCGGUUUGAUAAGCCAGAUGUGAAAUCCCCGAGCUCAACUUGGGAAUUGCAUUCGAUACUGGUUGGCUAGAGUAUGGGAGAGGAUGGUAGAAUUCCAGGUGUAGCGGUGAAAUGCGUAGAGAUCUGGAGGAAUACCGAUGGCGAAGGCAGCCAUCUGGCCUAAUACUGACACUGAGGUGCGAAAGCAUGGGGAGCAAACAGGAUUAGAUACCCGAGUA